AAGCGCUUGUGACCAGACUUGGGCCCGGCUGAUCAUCCAGGGUUCUCCCUGGUGCACUCUUCCGGCCCAGGCCAGCAUCAGUUCGCCCCGGGGGAAAAAGGCUCCGGGAAUGUGGCUCCCUCCGGGGAGUGUUAUAGCCCGCGGCGCAAUACCCUGUGGCGGACUGAGGUUCGCGCAUUCGCAAGGAUGCUGGCGUAAUGGUCAUCAGUGA
RNAcentral lists this ribosomal RNA (211 nucleotides) under Nectriaceae sp. RNAcentral's name for it is "partial large subunit ribosomal RNA". Lineage: Eukaryota; Fungi; Ascomycota; Sordariomycetes; Hypocreales; Nectriaceae. The record is from RNAcentral.